UAAACUAGGAUUAGAUACCCUAUUAUUAUAAAUAUAAAUUUAAAAUACUAAAUUAGUAUUAGUUAUUUUCUUGAAAAUUAAAAAAUUUGGCGGUAUUUUAGUCUUUUCAGAGGAACCUGUCCUGUAAUUGAUAGCCCACGAUUAUAUAUACUUUAGUUUUAAGUUUACAUAUCGUUGUAGGUUGAAUAUUUUAAUAGAAUUUAAAUGUUCAGAAUUUUUUAUUAAAAAAUAAAUCAGAUCAAGGUGUAGCUUAUAUUUAAGAAGUGGUGGGUUACAUUGAAAUUAUUUAGGAUAAUUUUUUUUAAAAGAAAUUUGAAUGUGGAUUUGAUAGUAAUUUAAUAUAUUUAUUUUAAAUGAUUAUAGCUCUAAAAUAUGUACACAUCGCCCGUCGCUCUUAA
This 398-nucleotide ribosomal RNA is filed under the name Bruchidius sp. KE08. RNAcentral's name for it is "partial 12S small subunit ribosomal RNA". The record is from RNAcentral. Lineage: Eukaryota; Metazoa; Arthropoda; Insecta; Coleoptera; Chrysomelidae.